RNAcentral lists this ribosomal RNA (1104 nucleotides) under Salmonella enterica. RNAcentral's name for it is "bacterial SSU rRNA". It matches the Rfam family "Bacterial small subunit ribosomal RNA", at positions 1 to 1094 of the family's 1533-position model. Lineage: Bacteria; Pseudomonadati; Pseudomonadota; Gammaproteobacteria; Enterobacterales; Enterobacteriaceae. The record is from RNAcentral.
AAAUUGAAGAGUUUGAUCAUGGCUCAGAUUGAACGCUGGCGGCAGGCCUAACACAUGCAAGUCGAACGGUAACAGGAAGCAGCUUGCUGUUUCGCUGACGAGUGGCGGACGGGUGAGUAAUGUCUGGGAAACUGCCUGAUGGAGGGGGAUAACUACUGGAAACGGUGGCUAAUACCGCAUAACGUCGCAAGACCAAAGAGGGGGACCUUCGGGCCUCUUGCCAUCAGAUGUGCCCAGAUGGGAUUAGCUAGUUGGUGAGGUAACGGCUCACCAAGGCGACGAUCCCUAGCUGGUCUGAGAGGAUGACCAGCCACACUGGAACUGAGACACGGUCCAGACUCCUACGGGAGGCAGCAGUGGGGAAUAUUGCACAAUGGGCGCAAGCCUGAUGCAGCCAUGCCGCGUGUAUGAAGAAGGCCUUCGGGUUGUAAAGUACUUUCAGCGGGGAGGAAGGUGUUGUGGUUAAUAACCGCAGCAAUUGACGUUACCCGCAGAAGAAGCACCGGCUAACUCCGUGCCAGCAGCCGCGGUAAUACGGAGGGUGCAAGCGUUAAUCGGAAUUACUGGGCGUAAAGCGCACGCAGGCGGUCUGUCAAGUCGGAUGUGAAAUCCCCGGGCUCAACCUGGGAACUGCAUUCGAAACUGGCAGGCUUGAGUCUUGUAGAGGGGGGUAGAAUUCCAGGUGUAGCGGUGAAAUGCGUAGAGAUCUGGAGGAAUACCGGUGGCGAAGGCGGCCCCCUGGACAAAGACUGACGCUCAGGUGCGAAAGCGUGGGGAGCAAACAGGAUUAGAUACCCUGGUAGUCCACGCCGUAAACGAUGUCUACUUGGAGGUUGUGCCCUUGAGGCGUGGCUUCCGGAGCUAACGCGUUAAGUAGACCGCCUGGGGAGUACGGCCGCAAGGUUAAAACUCAAAUGAAUUGACGGGGGCCCGCACAAGCGGUGGAGCAUGUGGUUUAAUUCGAUGCAACGCGAAGAACCUUACCUGGUCUUGACAUCCACGGAAGUUUUCAGAGAUGAGAAUGUGCCUUCGGGAACCGUGAGACAGGUGCUGCAUGGCUGUCGUCAGCUCGUGUUGUGAAAUGUUGGGUUAAGUCCCGCAACG